GUGUGAUCAUGACUUUUAUUGAAUUAAAAACAUUUUAGACUUUAGUAUUAGUAAAGAUACACAUAAAUUAAACCAUAUGAUUAAACAUUGCUGGCCCGGUUGUUUAAAAUGUUAAAUAUAACAGUUUGUUUAAUACACACAAUAUACAACAAUAUACAAUACUAAUAACUUAACAGAUCAAUCAGUUUUAUACCCCAUACCCAAGUUUUAAAAAUUUGGGUACUUAUAUAUUCGGGGUGGUUUAUAGUCGGAGGUUUACGGUAUGUGAAGUGUUUUUGUGGAACACUUCAUAGCGCAGAAUGUCCAAAAUCAAAAAAUGAUGGUAACCUAGCCUGCAUGGCAGGCGGUACGUAGGAAAUACCGCCUGCCGCAAAACUGGAUGUAAAUGAACUACCGCCCCUGAAGCAUCAACGCUAUUUAUAGAUGCAUUAAUUAAGUAAAUAUUCAAAAUUAGCCACUCCCAAGCUGCUCCCAAGUCCCAACUGCCCAACAUAAAAUAAAUUCCUUGAUUCUCAUCACUGCCCGACUGAAUUUUAAAAUCCUCGUGAAAACGUUUUAUUUUUCGUUAUACAAUAUAAAUGUACCGCCCGACAAAAUAAUUCAAGACAGUUAAUUUUUUUAUAUUUUAUAUAGGGUUUUUAGUGCCAAUUUAAACUUCCAAUUUCAAACAAACAGAAUUUUGAAUGAAAUUUCAUUGUAUUUUAAAGAAACUCAGUCAUUCUGUCAUUGUUUGUGGAGAUACGAACUAUUAAUAUAUAAAUUAUAUAAAUAUAAAAUAUAAAAAAUAAAUCUCCCACUGUCUUCGACAUUUCAAAGUGUAGACUGUGUCUAGUGAUGAGAAUCAAGGAAUUUAUUUUAUGUGUUAAUAUAAACCAAGCCCGUUUAGCCGUUUAGCUGCCUUAAAGCGGUGGUUUAAUAAGCUCAAAAUACAAAGCAUGCAAGUCUAUACUAUAGAUUCAUCAUCAGUCAACAACCAAACUGAAAGUAUUGAACCCUUAUAGAACGAUAGUUUUUAUUUGUUUACAACUAUACAUAUUCAACGGGUAUAUAAGAGUUUAAGUGUUAUUUGAUAAUUACUGCAUCAACCGGCCCCUUGUUUAUACUUUGGAGGUUCGUAUAUAUUAAUAUCUAUCAAGUAUCUUUGGUUCAGAACAUGACUGAUAGGCCUUAUAUGGAAAUCCCACUGUUCGAUUCAGUGAAGAAAUAUCUCCUAAUUUCUAUCGAUAGUUUUAGUAAAAUGUCAACAUUAUUGCGAUUUAUGGCCUUUGAAAGUCAAGCGAGAUAGUAUAUUAUCAAAUUAAUACGCAUGUAAUUGUCUGAACGAAAAUAUAGACUAGCCCAUACCUUUCUCCGAUCAUAACUUCGG
Non-coding RNA from Paramuricea clavata, 1366 nucleotides. Lineage: Eukaryota; Metazoa; Cnidaria; Anthozoa; Malacalcyonacea; Plexauridae. The record is from the annotation of a GenBank genome assembly.